This is a long non-coding RNA of Zea mays, 203 nucleotides long. RefSeq lists it as uncharacterized. The transcript has 3 exons. Lineage: Eukaryota; Viridiplantae; Streptophyta; Magnoliopsida; Poales; Poaceae. The record is from RefSeq and is a predicted model, not a curated record.
GCAAGCCACCAAUGCCACGAAGAGGACUCCAAGGUGGUAGAGUUUCUACAUCGUUAAAUGUAAAAAAUAGCAGUAAUGCAGCCAAGGUGAUGAACCAGGACACUGCUCGAAAUUCCUCUAAUCAUGAACCAUACAAGAACAAGGGAUCUCUAGAAAAUUAUUUGCCAAGUACUAAAGAUGAUCAGUCUAGAUCAAAACGAAAA